AAACCAGCACCUCAAGUGGUCAGGAUGAUUAUUGGGCCUAAAGCAUCCGUAGCCUGCUCUGUAAGUUUUCGGUUAAAUCUGUACGCUUAACGUACAGGCUGUCGGGAAUACUGCAGAGCUAGGGAGUGGGAGAGGUAGACGGUACUCGGGAGGAAGUGGUAAAAUGCUUUGAUCUCUCGAUGACCACCUGUGGCGAAGGCGGUCUACCAGAACACGUCCGACGGUGAGGGAUGAAAGCUGGGGGAGCAAACCGGAUUAGAAACCCGGGUAGUCC
Molecule: ribosomal RNA, 274 nt
Filed under: uncultured bacterium
Lineage: Bacteria
Description: partial 16S ribosomal RNA
Rfam family: Archaeal small subunit ribosomal RNA
Source: RNAcentral